Long non-coding RNA from Cercocebus atys (sooty mangabey), 1583 nucleotides. The record is from Ensembl. NCBI's taxonomy places the organism in Eukaryota, Metazoa, Chordata, Mammalia, Primates, Cercopithecidae.
AUGUGGUGGCAGGCACCUGUAAUUGCAGCUAUUUGGGAGGCUGAGGCAGGAGAAUCGCUUGAACCUGCGUGCCAUCGCACUCCAGCAUGGGCAACAAUAGAAAGACUCCAUCUCAAAAAAAAAAAAAAAAAAAAAAAAGUAAACCUGGUUUCUCUUACCAUUCUCAGUAGGAGUGCUCUGCUGCAAGAUACUUCAUCUUUGGCUCCACACAAGAAAGAGCAGUGGACUUCAGGCCUCAUCAACUCCUCCCAGCCCUCCCGCUUUAUCUUGGACCUGCAGGCUCACUUACAGAUGACCUGCCCUUAUAAAGAACUUGCCUAACAUCUCAGCCCUGCCUUAAUGCCAGAAGAAUUGUCUUUCCUCACAAUCUCCCCACAUCUUAGUCCCAUUUGUUUCCAGAUCCCCAAACUAGCCUCUGUCUACAUCCCAGGCCAGGGUAAAUAAUACUUGGACUUUCUUUACUUUUCUCAAAAGCAGGAUUGCCUGCUUUCUAAAUCCUGUGAUUUUAUUUUGUGGUGGCUCCCACUCCUGUCUCCUUGUUAAAAUUCUGGAGUAAAUGCUGUGUCUGCUCCAAAUAAAUUAUGGAAGAAAACACAUUUGGACACUCACAGAUAUAUUGCAUUCUGUUUUUCCAUUUAUUCCUAAGAGAAAAGGUUUGAUAGCCCUCUCGUAGGUUGAAUUCUCCUCUAUGGAUUGUAAAUUAGUCAAUUUGUGACUAUUUUGCUAAGCAGAGUCAAAGAUCCCUAUUAAAAACAAUAAUGGUUGCUAUUUUAUAACUACGGUAUUUUGUGCUUCAGUUGCAUGGAUACCAGGGGUCUAAUCUAUGCCUGGUCUCAUUUAGCACUUAACAAUCCUGUGCAUACUGGGGACAGGGGCAGUAACUGUUGACUGCACUUUAUUUAAUCAGGAAACAGAAGCUAAGAGAUGUUAGAUUGUUCAUUAGUAAGUUAUAGAACUAAGAUUCAAAGUCAAGACUCUCCGACUGCAAAACUCUUGCUCUUCCUAAUACAGUUCUACCUCCUAACCCUUAAUUCUCAGUGUCUAAUGUUACAUAACUUCAAACCCUGGUCAGUCAUUGUAACUACCCAUGGGUCCCCAGAGAGAAUGUGGAUGUCUCAGGAUGGUCCAUCACCUUGACUGAACAGUUAAAAUGCAGUGACAACAUAGGACGUGUUUAGAGGCUGAUAAUAAAAUUUAAAAAUAUUAUGCCUUCUAUCAACAGAUGAAUGGAUAAGGAAAAUGUGGUCUAUGUACAUAAUAGAAUACUAGAUACCCUUUAAAAAGGAAAUUCUGGCUGGGUGCGGUGACACAAUGUAAUCCCAGCACUUUGGGAGGCCAAGGCAGGCGGACCAUCUGAGGUCAGGAGUUUGAGACCAGCCUGGCCAACAUGGUGAAACCCCAUCACUACUAAAAAUACAAAAAUUAGGCCAGGCACGGUGGCUUACGCCUGUAAUCCCAGCACUUUGGAAGGCUGAGGCCGGCAGAUCACAAGGUCAGGAGUUGAAGACCAGCCUGGCCAACAUAGUGAAACCCUGUCUCUACUAAAAAUACGAAACUUUGCCAGGCAUGGUGGUGCACACCUG